CGUCGGCUAAAGUCUAUAAAUUCACGAAAACGCUCAUAUCUCCCCCUAUAUUACGUAAUUUGGUCAAACCUUCCACAUCAAAAACUCUCACAUAGAUGAGACGCAACUGCCCAUAUAAAAAUUUUGAGACAUUUACCUUCCGACAAUAGGGCUCCCCAUAAGGAAUAAUAACGGUAAAUAGGGUUGACCGCUACUAUCGGCUCCGAGACUUUACCCGAUUUACGUGAUUUUUGAACCAUAGCCGUAUUUCACCAUUUUGAACACAUCUUAUUUCACGAGAUUUUUCAUAAUUUUGCUUCCUAUGUAGAGUUGGUUCACAAAGUUGUAUAACCUACUAAACAAGUUAUACAACAUUAGUAGACACGUUGUGAUUCCGAUGACUAAAAUUCACAAACCAAAAUUCGACCGUCAGAUAUGAUCAUUAUGACGAAAUAUGUCUAUGGUAAAAAAUUCAACUGGAUCCGACAACGUUAAGGGCUUGAUCGAAACGGUCAACCAUAAUCCAUCGUCACUUAUCACACGAAAACGCUCAUAUCUCCCUCUAUAUUACGUAGUUUGGUCAAACCUUCCACACAAAAAACUCUCACGUAGAUGAGACGAAACUGCCCAUAUAAAAAUUUUGAGACAUUUUGUCACAUCCCGACCCUUAUAUUUUUACCUUAUUUACUAGCGUGAUUAUAAUAAGAAUUUUACCGUCCCGAUCAUUGAGUAAAUAGUUUAAUUGGUCCCUAGAGGGGUUUCGGGGACGAUUAUGUGCGGAGGAUAAUUCGUAUGGGGAAAAUACGACGACGGUAAAAAUAGUAAAUUUUAGCUAGUAAAAGGUAAUUUUUAUUCGGGUAUUAUUUUUUCGGGGUGUUGAAUUUUGGAAUUUUGGGUUAAAAAGGAGUGUUGGGUCGGCUGGGCCGAGCCCAACCCAUUUCUUCUUCCUUUCUCUCUCUCUCCCUCCCGUUUUCUCUCUUCCCACCCGCAUUUCUUCUCCCUCCACCCGGGAAACUUCACCACCGCAGCCCGCCGCCGUCCGGCCACCAGCUGCCGCCGCUCCAGCCCAGAUCGGACCCCCGUCACCUCCUCUCCCUCCCCGGCCUAGCCCCCGAGCCUCUAACACGCCGGAGAGGAGAAAAAGCCGCCGGAACCGCCGACUGUGUCUUCGCCGGAGCUCCGUCCUCCGGCCACCAUAGGUCGUGAUUUUUGGCUCAACUUGUAGCCCUCAUCUAGGUGAGUAAUCCCUCAAAAGGUUUCGGCUAAAUUCGAUUUCGUUAGGGUGGUUUGUAUAAUUGAAAGUUUUGGGGAUUUAUGGUUGUUUGUGUUCGAUCGACAUGGUUAGGCUUAGAAUNN
This 1335-nucleotide long non-coding RNA is filed under the name Fragaria vesca (wild strawberry). RNAcentral describes it as "long non-coding RNA (FVES_LNC002775)". The record is from RNAcentral. Lineage: Eukaryota; Viridiplantae; Streptophyta; Magnoliopsida; Rosales; Rosaceae.